GACGAACGCUGGCGGCGUGCCUAAUACAUGCAAGUUGAGCGAUGAAGCUUGGUGCUUGCACCAAUUUGAAGAGCAGCGAACGGGUGAGUAACGCGUGGGGAAUCUGCCUUUGAGCGGGGGACAACAUUUGGAAACGAAUGCUAAUACCGCAUAACAAAUUUAAACAUAAGUUUUAAGAUUGAAAGAUGCAAUUGCAUCACUCAAAGAUGAUCCCGCGUUGUAUUAGCUAGUUGGUAAGGUAAAGGCUUACCAAGGCGAUGAUACAUAGCCGACCUGAGAGGGUGAUCGGCCACAUUGGGACUGAGACACGGCCCAAACUCCUACGGGAGGCAGCAGUAGGGAAUCUUCGGCAAUGGACGAAAGUCUGACGGAGCAACGCCGCGUGAGUGAUGAAGGUUUUCGGAUCGUAAAACUCUGUUAGUAGGGAAGAACAUAUGUGAAAGUAGAAAUCUCAUCAAGUGACGUUAACUACCCAGAAAGGAACGGCUAACUACGU
RNAcentral lists this ribosomal RNA (496 nucleotides) under uncultured bacterium. Its description in RNAcentral is "partial 16S ribosomal RNA". It matches the Rfam family "Bacterial small subunit ribosomal RNA", at positions 28 to 506 of the family's 1533-position model. The record is from RNAcentral.